RNAcentral lists this transfer RNA (67 nucleotides) under Lutzomyia pia. RNAcentral describes it as "tRNA-Ser". The record is from RNAcentral. Lineage: Eukaryota; Metazoa; Arthropoda; Insecta; Diptera; Psychodidae.
AGUUAAUAAGCUUUAAUAGCAACUGUUUUGAAAACAUUAGAUAGAAACCUGAAUUUUCUAUUAACUU